AACUUAUCAAGAAAGGUGGAGGGUUCUGGCCCCGUGAAGCCUUGGCAACCGGAUUUUUCACGGUGCCAAAUCCAGCAGGUAACACUGACAGAUAAGGC
This is a regulatory RNA element of Listeria monocytogenes EGD-e, 98 nucleotides long. It matches the Rfam family "SAM riboswitch aptamer (S box leader)". From Rfam's summary of the family: The SAM riboswitch is found upstream of a number of genes which code for proteins involved in methionine or cysteine biosynthesis in Gram-positive bacteria. NCBI's taxonomy places the organism in Bacteria, Bacillati, Bacillota, Bacilli, Caryophanales, Listeriaceae. The record is from Rfam.